This 95-nucleotide signal recognition particle RNA is filed under the name Novosphingobium sp. RNAcentral describes it as "signal recognition particle sRNA small type". It matches the Rfam family "Bacterial small signal recognition particle RNA". From Rfam's summary of the family: The signal recognition particle (SRP) is a universally conserved ribonucleoprotein involved in the co-translational targeting of proteins to membranes. Archaeal SRP consists of a 7S RNA and homologues of the eukaryotic SRP19 and SRP54 proteins. RNAcentral also lists the same sequence under 1 other name. The record is from RNAcentral. Lineage: Bacteria; Pseudomonadati; Pseudomonadota; Alphaproteobacteria; Sphingomonadales; Sphingomonadaceae.
CCGGGAGUCGGGCGGACGUUUGCGCCCGUUAACCUGGUCAGGUCCGGAAGGAAGCAGCCAUACCGGAUUGCGACGGGUCGUUCGGCUCCUUUUUU